Molecule: ribosomal RNA, 250 nt
Filed under: uncultured bacterium
Lineage: Bacteria
Description: partial 16S ribosomal RNA
Rfam family: Bacterial small subunit ribosomal RNA
Source: RNAcentral
UACGGAGGGUGCGAGCGUUAAUCGGAAUUACUGGGCGUAAAGCGAGUGCAGGCGGUUGCGUGUGUCGGGUGUGAAAGCCCCGGGCUUAACCUGGGAAUUGCAUCCGAAACUGCGUAACUAGAAUAUGGUAGAGGAAGACGGAAUUCCACGUGUAGCGGUGAAAUGCGUAGAUAUGUGGAGGAACACCAAUGGCGAAGGCAGUCUUCUGGGCCAAUAUUGACGCUGAGGCUCGAAAGCGUGGGUAGCAAAC